UUAUUUUCGCUCUCUAUCUGGAAUAACAGGACGUGCACGGACUUUUCGAUCACAGAACUCUCACUGACCUCCCCACUCUGCGUGACCGUGACUCACACGUGCAACCCGAGACACAAACCACUAUCAGUGCUUCUAAAACUUUGCGAGAGAGAAAUCGAGCUUUUUUAUUUGAAAUUAAACGGAAAUUGGUGAAAAUGGAACUGAAGUGUAAAAAUUGUCGACAAAUUGUGAUAAAAAUACAAGAGAGUCAAAUAAAAGAUGCUCAUUUGAGGAAGAGGACAAUUGAAGAGAUUAAAUCAACAAAUUGCUCAACUGUUGCAGAAGAUAACUUAUUUUUGGACGAAGAAGACCUUCCAGAGUGGAUUACAGAGGAAUUCCAGGCAUCUCAGUGGACAAAGGGGAAGCUGAAGUGUCGCAAUUGCUCCUCAACAGUUGGCUCAUAUAAUUUUCUCGGGGGUGGAAAAUGUGCAUGUGGAAUGUCCCUCAUCCCUCAGAUCCACUUAAUAAAGAGCAAAAUUGACAUACCAUUGCAAAUCGUAUGAAAAAUGUAUAUAGUUUUUUUUAUUUGUGAAGCAAAGAAUUACAAAACUAAUUUUAUAUCCUA
This is a long non-coding RNA of Phlebotomus papatasi, 604 nucleotides long. RefSeq lists it as uncharacterized. NCBI's taxonomy places the organism in Eukaryota, Metazoa, Arthropoda, Insecta, Diptera, Psychodidae. The transcript is spliced from 2 exons. The record is from RefSeq and is a predicted model, not a curated record.